Long non-coding RNA from Oxyura jamaicensis (ruddy duck), 920 nucleotides. RefSeq lists it as uncharacterized. NCBI's taxonomy places the organism in Eukaryota, Metazoa, Chordata, Aves, Anseriformes, Anatidae. The record is from RefSeq and is a predicted model, not a curated record. The transcript is spliced from 5 exons.
CGACAACUUGUGGCAAGUAUUCCCACAGCUGAAAUUGAUGUUUGAAGGAGGAGCUCCUUUUCCUUGCUUUGAACUCAUCACAUGCUAUCUUUAUUUAAUGAGCGAGGCUCGGAUGCUCUUCCACUGCUUGCCUGAUCACCUCAAAAGUUUCUGUCAGUUCUGCUGAUUCUCCUCAUUUCUUCUUAGAAAACUAGCUCUGAAAACAGGCUGCCUUUACAGGUGGCUGUGGGAUUUGGUGAAAAUUCAGAAGUUCCGGGCACGUGAGAAGGGUCUGCUUUCUUCAUACUUCUGCUGAAAGAAGCAAGUGAAAACCACCUGUUUUACCCAUCAAGGCCCAUGGGAGCCACCCAUCUUCAAUAAUCUUUCUUGGAAAUAAUUUGGGAGUCUGUAAUCACACCUCCUUCUUCUAGGGAGCCACUGUUCCCUCACCACAGGGCAGAGGAGGGUGAGGAGCUGCCGAGAGCGAGCAUCCAGAGCAGGGUCCUGCCUCUAUAACCUGCAGAUGUGAAGCAGUGGUUUCAAACUCAUCAGGAGGGCCCUUUUGAAUUUCAGGUUGGUUCACAGAAUCAUGAGAGAGAUUUCAAAGGCAAUCAGAUGCUGCUGACACAUGUCAUAUGCUUCUGUCAGGCUGGGACCAUUCAGCCCUGCCUGAAAUAGGAUAUGAGUGACAAAAGGGACAAGGAUGACUGUGUAGAAGAGCUUCCCGGGGGCACAGAUUUUAAGAUAGUCCGUUGCACAUGUGACACACCAUGGCAUUGUACAUCUAAAAGGCAGAAGAGCACGUGAAAAAGAGAAGCUUAGGACAGGGCUGGAUGAGUAGUUCCUGUUCCAUGGGAUGAAUCCAUCCCAUGUGCCAGCCAUCUGCAAGCAGAAUUUCAGCUGGAGGAUCUGUUGCACUCAUGGGACAAUGUAUGGAAAAG